Molecule: ribosomal RNA, 460 nt
Filed under: uncultured bacterium
Lineage: Bacteria
Description: partial 16S ribosomal RNA
Rfam family: Bacterial small subunit ribosomal RNA
Source: RNAcentral
CCUACGGGUGGCAGCAGUGAGGAAUAUUGGUCAAUGGACGAGAGUCUGAACCAGCCAAGUAGCGUGAAGGAUGACUGCCCUAUGGGUUGUAAACUUCUUUUAUAAAGGAAUAAAACGAGGCACGUGUGCCUUUUUGCAUGUACUUUAUGAAUAAGGAUCGGCUAACUCCGUGCCAGCAGCCGCGGUAAUACGGAGGAUCCGAGCGUUAUCCGGAUUUAUUGGGUUUAAAGGGAGCGUAGAUGGGUUGUUAAGUCAGUUGUGAAAGUUUGCGGCUCAACCGUAAAAUUGCAAUUGAUACUGGCAGUCGUGAGUACAGUUGAGGUAAGCGGAAUUCGUGAUGUAGCGGUGAAAUGCUUAGAUAUCACGAAGAACCCCGAUUGCGAAGGCAGCUUACUAAACUGUGACUGACAUUGAUGCUCGAAAGUGUGGGUAUCAAACAGGAUUAGAUACCCCAGUAGUC